CCUACUGGUGGCUGCAGUGAGGAAUAUUGGUCAAUGGGCGCGAGCCUGAACCAGCCAAGUAGCGUGAAGGAUGACUGCCCUACGGGUUAUAAACUUCUUUUAUAAAGGAAUAAAGUGAGGCACGUGUGCCUUUUUGUAUGUACUUUAUGAAUAAGGAUCGGCUAACUCCGUGCCAGCAGCCGCGGUAAUACGGAGGAUCAGAUCGUUAUCCGGAUUUAUUGGGUUUAAAGGGAGCGUAGAUGGGUUGUUAAGUCAGUUGUGAAAGUUUGCGGCUCAACCGUAAAAUUGCAAUUGAUACUGGCAGCCUUGAGUACAGUUGAGGUAGGCGAAAUUCGUGGUGUAGCGGUGAAAUGCUUAGAUAUCACGAAGAACUCCGAUUGCGAAGGCAGCUUACUAAACUGCCACUGACAUUGAUGCUCGAAAGUGUGGGUAUCAAACAGGAUUAGAUACCCUGGUAGUC
RNAcentral lists this ribosomal RNA (460 nucleotides) under uncultured bacterium. RNAcentral's name for it is "partial 16S ribosomal RNA". It matches the Rfam family "Bacterial small subunit ribosomal RNA", at positions 338 to 795 of the family's 1533-position model. The record is from RNAcentral.